UUUUUCUCUUUGCUUGUUUGUUUUUGGCUCCUGUUUUUCUCUCCUCUCUCUCCUCCUUCCCGUACCCCUAUUAGCUCCACACAUCACAACCUCCCCCCUCUUUCCUGCUUACCUGCACCAGGCACUGAAUAUCACACUCCCAAGCAGCACAGGCACAGCCUACUGGAACCUGCCCGGCACUGAUUCCUGGCCCACCCUGUCGGCCCUAAUACGUGCCACAAACAACCAGUCCGAGCCCCUCCCCUUCAGCUGGACCUGCCCUGCUGCACUACAGCUGAAUGACUGGCCCAGCCCAUUGGACAAGGAGGUGAAAAUAUCGCGACUACAGACAAGCAAAGAAUGCACAGCCCACCUGCUCAGUCAUAAGCAAAGAAAACAAAAAAGCAGGAAAAACAAACAAAUUUACUAUCAAGAAACAAAGGAAGUAACUACUGAAUGUCUCGAAGACAGCAGACAAUAUCAAAACAUAUAAAAAUACAGGACAGGAUGGGUCCAGGAGGUGUCCAAAACACCAGAUGACUUUCUAGUAGAAGAAAAGGCACUAGAACUACCUGAUAGGGCAUUCAAAUCUCUGAUAUUCAAGGCAAUCCAAGAGUAGAAGCAAAAAGCAGACAAAAAUGAGGAAAAAAAUAGACAUAUUUUUAGAAAAGGCAGACAAAUUCAUGGAAAAUGCAGACAAAAAAAAUGGAACAAUUCAGGAAAGUAAUACAGGAAAAAAAUGCCAAAAUUCACAACUAGAAAUCAUACAAAAGCAACAAUUAUAAAUCCAAAAGAUAAGCAACAAGAUUUCAGAAAUGGGCAGUGUCAUAGAAGGGCUGAGGAGCAGGUUUGAAACAAUGGACGACAGAAUCAGCGAAAUUGAAGACAGACAUUUGGAUAGACCUUUGAGGAAAAAUUAGUUGAGGAAAAAUUAGAAAAAAGAACGAAGAAAAAUGAAGAAACCCUGAGAAUUUUGUGGGAUACAAUCAAAAGCAAAAAUUUGCUAGUGAUCGGAGUUCCAGAACAGGGAGUGAAAACGGAAAACACAGAGAGGAUCAUUGAAGAAUUCCUGACGGAAAACUUCCCUAAUAUGAAUGAUGAAAAGCUGACCAUCCAAGAAGCUCAGUGAACUGCACAUAGGAUAGACCCCAAAAGAAAAACACCAAGACAUAUCGUAAUCAUACUGGCUAAAACCAAACACAAAGAAAAAAAUCCUGCGAGCAGCCUGAGAAAAACAAAAACUCACAUACAGAGGAGAAACAAUAAGACUAAGCUCUGAUUAUUGAGCAGAAACCAUGCAGGCAAGGAGACAAUGGGAUGACAUAUAUAAAACCUUGAAAGAAAAGAAUUGCCAAACAAGAAUCAUAUAACCUGCAAAACUUUCUUUCAAAUAUGAUGGUGAAAUUAGGACAUUUCCAGAUAAACCAAAAUUAAGGGAAUAUGUAAAAACCAAACCAAAUUUAGGAGAAUUAAUCAAAGGAGUCCUUUAGUCUGAGAACAAACAACAUCAGACCACAUCCUGAAUCCAGGACUCAAGAUUGUACCAGCCAGAUACCAAUCUAGGAGAUGAACUCUGAAGGACUAUCCAAAACCAAGACAACUGCAACAGGGAACCAGAGAGGUUAAUCUGUAAGUGACAACAACGUCAGAACAAUAAAAGAGGGAAUAAACGGUAUAGGUAUAGAACUCUCUAAUGGAGAAGAAGGCAAGGCGAUACCAAGUAAUAAUAGACUAGUUCAAACCUGGGAAGAUACAGGUAAAUUUCAAGGUAACCACAAAGAAAGUUAACAAACGUACUCAUCAAAAUGAAGAAAAACAAAGUCUCAAUAAAAUCAAAAUCUACAAAAACAAAAGAAAUCCACAAACGAAAGGAACUCAGCACAGGACGUUAUACUGAGUGAAAUAAGUCCAUCACAAAAGGACAAAUAUUGUAUGAGACCACUACUGUAAAAACUCAAGGAAAGUUUUACAUAACAAAAAGAAACAAUAUUUCAUGGUUACGAGGCGGGGGAGGGGUAGGGAUGGAAAAACACUUAAUGGACAAAAGAUAAGCGGUAACUUUAGUGAAGGGCAAGACAGUACACAAUACUGGGAAAGCCAGCACAGCCUGUACAAGGCAAGGCCAUGUAGCUCCAUAGACACAUCCAAACUCCCUGCGGGACCGAAUUGCUGGACCAAGCGCUGUGGGGACCAUGGUCUGGGGGAACAUCUAGCUCAAUUGGCGUAACGGAGUUUACAAAGAGAAUGUUCUACAUUCUACUUUGGUGAGUAGUGUCUGGGGUCUUAAAGCCCUGUGAGCAGCCAUCUAGUAUGCUCCACUGGUUUCACCCCUUCGGGAACAAGAGAGAAUGAAGAAAACUAAAGACACAAGGGAAAGAUUAGUCCAAAGGGCUAAUGGACCACAUCUACCACAGCCUCCACCAGACUGCGUUCAAUACAACGAGAUGGUGCCCAGCUACCACCACUGAUUACUCUGACAGGGAUCACAAUAGAGGGCCACGGACGGGACAGGAAAAAAACGUAGAACAAAAUUCUAACAAAAAGAAAGACCACACGUGCUGGCCUGACAGACUGGAGAAACUCCGGAGUGUAUGGCCCCCAGAUACCCUUUCAGCUCAGUAAUGAGGCCACACCUGAGGUUCACCCUUCAACCAAAGGUUGAACAGGCCCAUGGAACAAAACAAGACUAAAGUGGCUCACCAGCCCUGGGGCAGGGACUGAAAGGCAGGAGGUAACAGGAAUGCUGGUAAUGGGGAACCCAGGAUUGAGAAGGGAGAGUGCUGACAUGUUGUGGGGUUGUUAACCAGUGUCAUACAACAAUGUGUGUACUAAUUGUUUGCUGAGAAACUUGUUUGUCUGUAAACCUUCAUCUAAAGUUGAAUUUAAAAAAAAAAAAAAUUGCCUUUGAGUUGAUUCCGACUCACCCUGACCCCAUGUGUUAAGGUUUUCUUAGUCGUAAUCUUUAUGGGGCAGAUUGUCAGGCCUUUCUUCUGCAGUGCCACUAGGUGGGUUCAAACUGCCAGCCUUUAGUAGACAAGCACAAACUGUUUGCACCACCCAGGGACCCCAGGUACCAGGAAUAGAUGCUUGAAAAUUUUAAAGAGGGUAAGAGUAUUUUUAUGUAGGGGCAAUAUGGUAAAUCUUCAUGGAGGAAAUGGGAUUUGGGCUGCGCCUAAAAAGUUGAGUGGAAUUAAGUGGCGAAAUCAUGCACAAAGAUCAAGAGAAUUUAAACUGGCAAGUUAAGUUAUGGUUAGAUUCUAGACAUCUGGAAAGCCAGGCCAAGGAAGCUGGACAUUAUUAUAAAGGCAACAAGGAACUGUAAUUGAGGUCCACAUUAAGUCCCAGAAUUUCAGAGCCAAAUAUAUGACUGAUCCAUAGCAGAAGCCAUGGCAGCUGUCUUGUUCUUCUUUCCAGAGAUAUACGCCAAACCUCCCUUACUUUCCUGUGGCCUGCUUUCAUAGGCCCUAAAUUUCAGCUUUUGAAAUGCCACCUUCACAUUUUUAUUCCAUACCUGUAUGUCACAUGUAUAUUUGUUAUUUAAUAUUUCUCUUUAAGUCUCCUUUGAAUUAACUCCUAAGCAAAAAAUGAUCUCUGACAUUAUGAGGUGGAUAUAGAUGCUGGGUAAAAUUUUUCCAAUAUACAGUCAAAAAAUGCAUAACUAUUCACAUUUCUAAAGUGUCCCAAUUGCCACCUAAAUAUUCAUAGUUCCCACUAGCAGUUUACAGACCACACUUGGAAAAACAUGGUCCUACUCCGAACCACCACACAGGUCUUUUCUUUCCUGAGUUCACAGCUUGCUUGUCUUUCCACAUUUGCUCUCCCAUUUUGUUUUGUCCACUUUUGGACUCAAUAACUGAUGAACGAGGUCCCUGGAUAGUGCAGAUGACCCACACGCUCUGCUCCUUACCAGAAAGUUGAAGGUUGGAGUUUACUCAGAUGUGCUUCCAAAGAGGGGCCUGGCGAUCUACCUCUGAAAAAUCAGCCAUUGAAAAUCUUGUGGACAUGGGGUUGCCAUGAGUUGGGAUCGACUCGAUGGCAACCAGUAAACUGAAGAAAAAAAAAUAUUUUGAUUCAUGCAAGGUGUUCCAAAUAUCAGCAUUAAGAGGUGUUUGGGAGAAGUCGAUUCCAGUCCUCAUGGAAGACUUGGAGGAGUUUCAAGACUUGACUAGAGGAAGUAACUGCAGAUGUGUAGAUAGCAAGAGAAGAGUUAGAAAUGGAGCCUGAAGAUGCGACCGAAUUGCUGCAAUCUCAUGAUAACACUUUAACACAUGAGGAGUUGCUUCUCAUGAAUGAGGAAAAGAAGAUGGUUUCUUGAGAUGGAACCUCCUUCUGGUGAUGAUACUGUGAACAUUGUUGAAACGAUAACAAAGGAUUUAGAAUAUUACAUAAACUUAGCUGAUAGAGCAUCCUCAGGGCUUGAGAGGGUUGACUUUAAUUUUGAAAGAAGUUCUGUAGGUAAAAUGUUACAAAGAGCAUCACAUGCUACAGAGAAAUCUUUUGUGAAAGGAAGAGUCAGUAGAUGUGGCAGACUUCAUUGUUGUCGUAUUUUAAGAAAUUGCCACGGCCAUGCUAGCCUUUAGCAGCCACCACCCUGAUCAGUCAACAGCCAUCGGCACCAAGGCAAGACUUUCCACCAGUAAAAAGAUUACCACCUGCUGAAGGCUCAGAUGAUGGUUAGCAUUUUUUAAGCAAUAAAAUAUUUUUUGAUUAAGAUAUGUACAUAUUUUUAAGGCAUAAUGUUAUUAUUGCACACUUAAUGGACUGCAGUAUAGUGUGAACAUAACUUUUGAACGCACUAGGAAGCCAGAAAAUUCAUGUGACUCCUUUAUUGUGAUACUUGCCUUAUUUCGGUAGCCUGGAACUGAACCCGUAAUAGCGCCGACGUAUGCCUGUAGCCUUUUAUAACUGAAUUGGCAUUUUAUAGAGAAGGAAGUUGUGACUUAAGAUGAUAAUGUUAGCUGCCUUCAAGUCCAUUCCGACUCGUGACAACCCCAUGUGUGUCAGAGUAGAACUGCUCCGUAGGAUUUUAAGUCCGUGACCUUCCAGAAGCAGAACACCAGGCCUGUUUUCUGAGAUGCCUAAGGUUUGGUUCAAACUGUCGACCUUUCUGGUAGCAUUUGAGCACUUAACCGUGUGAGCCCCCCGGGGACUCCUGAGGCUCAAGGUACAGAACCCUUACUAGUGGCAGAGUUGGGAUUGGCCUUAACCUGCUUCCUCUUGGCCCAUUGCACCUAAAGGGGCGCAGUGACCCUGAAAAUGAGACAUUUCCUUAUUGAUAUCUACAUUUCCCAUUGAUGCUGUCAUGUGAUGUAUUUGAUUUAGAUGGCUUACGGUUGGUUGCUAGCAAAUCCAUGUAUUAAAGCAUAUUUCUUAGAAGUUAAUUUUUUUUUUUAGUAAUUUCAAGUGUUAAUAUAAAUCUGGUCUUUACCCCUUUUACUAUCCUGGUGACAUAGUAGGAAUUAUGGGUCAUUAAUUUUAUUCUCAUUGAUACAAUAUGAUCUGUGAUAAUUCCUUCUUUAUCCUCACUGUUUUGUCAUUGAUCAUGUUUGCUACCUAUCUCCUUCUCAGAAGUUUGUAAAAUAUUUUAUUCUUGAAAAGUGCUUUGCUUUUAUGGAAAUGAAAGGAUAAAUGCAAAGAACUGCUUUUGUGACAAACUAUGCUGUGUUAUGUUAAUAUAAAAAAUAGCAGACCCCUUGAUGCCUUUGCUUGGAUUACAUGUGGGAUUAUCAGUGUUUCUAAGGCAAAGUAAAUAUAAGAACACUAGGUUAAGCUGGGUUCUUUAUAAUGGUACUUCUCGUGGUACGUAAUACUGUAAUAACACGUAUUAUAAACCUCCAAAGGGAGUUGUUGUUACCCAAAGUUGUGUACAUCUCAAGGACUGAUGUUUUCUUGGAACAUUUUUUUAAAAAGCCCUCCUCUCUUUUUUUAUCUUUUAUCUCUUAACCUUUUUCGUGAUACAUUGACUUUCAUAUAUGCCUGUAUCAUUCCUUAGACUUUUUCAUUCUUCAGAAGUUAUUCACCAGUAAAAUCUUAACUUUUCUAUUUGACUCUGACCACAACCUCAUCUCCAUUAAUCCAGCUACUUCUAUUCAAGGCUUCCAGUGUAGUGAUUUCUUUCCCUUCCUACUUUUGCCUUAUGUUCCUCCUCUCCCCUUUGCUCUCCCCUCCUGCUUUCCUUAGAUAACACUCCUGCUGCCUUCUUACCAGUCUCUACAGUUCUCUUGUCCCAUUGCCUUCCAACUCACCUUUCUGGGAAUAUCCGCCUCUGAAUGGUUCAGACAAUAUGCUUUAAAUAUUAUGGGUAGCUCCGCUGGGAAAAAAAAUCUUACAGACUGUCCAGUUGCUGCUAUUUUAUAAAUGCAUUAUGUUCUACUUCAAUAUCUGUUAGUUCUUCUCCUGCCCCUGUUUGCCCACUUCUUUAUGGUGGUUAUUUUAAACUUUUCUGUUUCUUGAAGCUUUGCUACUUUAAGCAGAUGGCCUUUGCAGCAAACAUAAAAGCCUUUUGGUGGAACUAGCUUGCUUCCUGCUCCCACCUCUGCUAGUCCUUGGCUCUGUCCUUCUUUUCAGAAUGGAAAAUGUUCCCUUCCUCCUUGUUCAGGCUUUGUUUGCUCUGGAUCUCACAAUCUCCUUUAUUUUCAGACUCUUCUUCAUUAUUAGAGCUUUGUCAUAAAUAUUUAAACGAGCUUCUUUUAGCCUGUCAUCCUUCCUUAGAAAUGUGCUAUCAUUUCUCUUCCCCAUUUACCACCAAGCUUCUUAAAAAUGUACUCUAUACUAACUUUCCUCAGCUCAUUACUCCCUUGUUUCUGCCCCUCCCACUUCACUGAAAUUGUACUAGCCCAGGUCACCAACCUGUUAACCCGUUGCCAUUGAGUCGAUUCCGACUUACAGACCUUUCUAUUUCUAAAUUCAUGAACUCUUUUGAUUACCGGCCUGAUUUUUCUGCAGCACUGAUGACUUCUUUCUUUUUUCUCCCCUCUACAAACUAAGGUAGUUGAGUACAGGACUACAUUUGUUAAAUAUCGUAUCCCUAAGGUCUCCAAACAUCUAGCACAUAGUAGAAGCUUAGCAUAUAUUUGCUGAAUAUUCACUCAAAGAAUGUAUAAGAGUACUUCAGUCUACUGAUGUCUGUUAUGACUCUGCUCUAGCCUUGUUUAUAUUUUCAUGUGUUUCCUUGUUUUUUAUUAUUAUUUUACUGUUUGGUUUUGUCUAGUACUUUUUCUACUUAUCUUUUCCUUAUUAUGUUCAAAAUAAUUUCCAUGUGGAAAGCUGUUAUCUCAUGUGAUUUGCCUUGUCAGUUUACUUUCCUUUUAAAAGUGGAGCUUUGUUAUCAAAAAGGGUUAGCCUGAUACUCCACGUGGAGAACAUUGGCCACAUGUAGCACUUAAAAUCACAGUGGUUGAAAAACAAGGGCUUUGGUUUUUUGAGGUCCAUAGGCAACAUAAGUGGUUUGGACUCUACUACAAAUCAAAAGGUUGGUGGUUUGAACCCACCAUGGAAUAAAGGCCUGGAUAUCUGCUUCCAUAAAGAUUACAACCAAGAAAACCCUAUGUCCAAAGAAUCUACAAAAAAGCUUCUAGAGUUAAUAGAGGAAUUUAACAAAGUUGCAAGGUACAAGGUCAAUAAACAAAAAUCUAUUGGAUUUCUAUACACCAGCAAUGAGAAAUAUGAAAGGGAAAUUAGGAAAACAAUUCCAUUUACAAUAGCAUCUAAGAGAAUAAAAUACCUAGGAAUAAAUCUAACUGGGGAUUUGAAGGACUAAAAUGAAAACUAUAAAACACUGCUGAAAGAGUUUAAAGAAAACUUAAAUAAAUGGAAAGAUGUUCCAUGUUCAUGGAUUGGGAGACUUAACAUUGUUAAAAUGUUGGUACUACUCAAAGCGGUGUAUAGAUUCAAUACAAUUCUGAUAAAAAUUCCAACAGCCAGCUUUACAGAAAUAGAAAAACCAAUUCUCAAGUUUAUAUGGAAUGGCAAGAGGGCUCAAAUAGCUAAAGCAAUGUUGAAAGAGAAGACCAUAGUGAGAUAACUCACACUUCUAAUUUUAAAACAUACUAUACAGCUUCAGUAAUCAAAACAGCCUGGUACUGAUACCACAUUUGUCACAUAGACCAAUGGAAUAGAAUUGAGAGUCCAGAAAUAAACCCAUACUUCUUUGGUCAACUGAUUUUUGACAGGGGUGCUCAGUCCAUUCGAUAGGGAAAGAAGAGCCUUUUCAAUAAACAGUGUCGGGAAAAUUGAAUUUCCACAUGCAGAAUACUAUUUACAAAAACAAAUUCAAAAUGGUUUAAGGACCUGAAUGUGCAAACUAAAACCAUAGAAUUCUUAGAAGAAAAUGCAGGGCCACACUGUCAGGCCUAGCUUUCAGCAGUGGAUUAUCCAAUAUAAUAACAAAAGCACAAACAGCAAAAGACAAAUAAGUGGGACAUCAUAAAAAUUAAAAACUUUUGUUCAUCAAAAGACUUUACCAAAAAAGUGAAAAGACAAGCUACUGAGUGUGAGAAUAUUUUCUGAAACCAUGUAUCUGACAAGCACCUAGUAAUCAAAAUGGAUAUAAAACUUUUACAACUUAACAAAAAGACCAGUAACCCAAUCAUAAAAUGUACAAAGGACUUGAGUAGACAUUCUACCAAAGAGGAUAUUUAGAUGGCCACCAAACACAUGAAAAGAUACUUAACAUCAUUAACCAUCAGAGAAAUGGAAAUCAAAACCACAGUGAGAUAACUGUUUCAUUCCCACUAGGAUGGCUAAGAUCUAAAAAAACAAAAUAACAAAUGUUGGCAGGGAUAUGGGGAAAUUGGACCCCUUAUCCAUUGCUGGUAGGAAUGCAAAUUGGUACAGCCAUUGUAGAAAACAGUGUGGUGGUUCCUCAAAAAAACUAAAAAUGGAUCUACCCAGCAAUUCCACUUCUAGGUAUAUUCCCGAAAGAUUUAAAAGCAGAAACUCAGACUUGUACACCAGUGUUCAUUUCACCACUAUUCAUAAUAGCCAAAAGGUGGAAACAACCUAAAUGCUCACCAGCAGAUGGCUGGAUAAACAAAAUGUGAUACAUCCCUACAAUGGAAUACUACUCAGCCAGUAGGAGAAAUGAUGUCUUGGUACAUGCUAUGAUAUGGAUGGAGCUUGAAGACAUUAUGCUGGGUGAAAUAAGUCAAUCACAAAAGGACGUAUAUUGUAUGACCUCACUUAUAGAAAAAGGCAAGAAAAAGGCAAAUAUAUAGAGAACAAAGUUUAUUAAUGUUUACUUACCAGGAGUGGGAAGGAGGGGUAAAGGGGAAUUAAUGGUGAUGGAAUUAUUAUGUAGUAGGGUUUUUUUUGUUUGUAGGGUAGGGUUGCACAGCCGAUUAUUGUAAUUGCUGUCAGUAAGUUCUACGCCUAUAAAACGUUGAAUUAGCAAAGUUUUGUGAUACAUUUACAAUAACAACAGGUUUAGAGUCAUGGUUUCAUGGGACAUCUCAGGUAAUUGGCCUAAAAACAUGUUUAGUGCCUCUUUUCUACCUCCUAGCUUGAUGCGUGAUGCCUGGGGUUUUAAAAGCUUGCAAACGGUCAUUCCAAGGCCCAACAAUUGGUCUCUAUUAGCCUGGAACAACAGAGGAAGAAGGAGAGCCAGGAAUAGGAGGAGGGUAUGGAAUGUGUGGCUAAUUGCCUCCGUGAAUAACUGCGUCCUUUGCCAUGAGACCAACAGAACUAGAUGAUGCCUGGCUACCAUUACUGGACGUUUUGAUCGGUGAUUCCAUAGAAGAAUCCUGAUCAAAAUGGGGAAAACGUAAAACAGAAUUUCAAAUUUUCAUGGACUCCAGACUUCUUGGAGCCGUGAAGGUUGAAUGAACUUCUGAAACUAUUGCCCUGAGAUAAUUUUUUAAACCUUGAACCAAAUAUAUCUCCUAAAGUCUUCUUAAAACCCACCAGUAGUUUAACUAGUAAAAAAUGUCUCCGUUGAGCAUUAUGCUCAUUUAAGAGCUAUCUACAUGGGAUCAAGUUGACAACAGCAACUCAACAGAUUAGGUAGGAACUUUAGGGGGCAGUGAGGUUAUGUUAAUAGGUGAGGAACAGCUCAGAAAAGGAGAGUGAGAAUGGUUGUAUAACUUGAACAUAAUCAGUGUCAAUAAAUGCUACAUGUAGAAAGUAUUGAAUUGGUGUAUAUUUUGUUGUGUAUAUUCUCAACAACAACAAAAUAAAUAAAAUUAUUUAAAAGAGAGAAACCAUUGGAGUUCAGUUCUGCUCUGUAACACCUGGUGCUGCCAUGAGUCAGAAUUGACUUGAGGGCAGUGGGUUGGUGUUGGUUUUAUUGAGGAGGGUUUGAAGAAUGCUAUGUGUGACUUUAGGCACGUUACCUAACUUUUCUGAAUCCCCUUUCUUCGAUGGUGAAAUGGAAAUAAUAUGUUCCUUGCGAUUUGACAAGAAACAAAUGAGGUAACAGAGUAAAAGUUCACGUUACCUAACUUCCCUGAUUCCAGUUUCUUCGAUGGUAAAAUGGAAAUAAUACGUUCCUUGUGGCGUAGUGGUUAAGUGCUAUGGCUGCUAACCAAAGGGUCGGCAGUUCAAAUCUGCCAGGCGCUCCUUGGAAACUCUAUGGUGCAGUUCUCCUCUGUCCUAUAGGAUCGCUAUGAGUUGGAGUCGACUCAGUGGCACUGGGUUGGGUUGUGAUGUGACAAGGAACAAAUGAAUAACAGAGUAAAAGUUCUUAGUGUUGUGCCUUGUUAUUUAUUUAAAAAAAAAAGUAAUAAAUGUCCUGAGGUUCACCCUUCAGCCAAAGAUGAGAUAGGCCCAUAAAACAAAACGAGACUAAAGGGACAAGCCAGCCCAGGGGCAAGGACUAGAAGGCAGGUGGGGACACAAAAGCUGGCAAUGGGGAACCCAAAGUUGACAUGGGGAGAGUGUUGACAUGUAGUGGGGUUGUUAACCAGUAUCUUAAAACAAUAUGUGUACUAACUGUUUAAUAAGAGACUAGAAACCUUCAUCUAAAAUACAAUAAAAAAUAAGGAAGGAAAAAACCAAUAAAUGGAGUUAUGGUUAUUAAUAGUAGCAGCAGUGGUAUAUUAUUUGUCUAUAAUAAUCUCAUAUUCUUAUGGUGGAGUUGUCCUAUAUUACCUUUAAGGAAUUUUUUUAGCUUUUUUUUCUUUGUUUGAACUUAUAUAUACCAAGUUCUGGGACUAUAUUAGGAUCGUUAGAUCAGGGACAGUCUUUUUUAAUAGAUAUGUAUUUGUCUUACUGCCAUUCUCAGAUAACUAGGAAUAGAAUUUACAGGUAGUCCCUGACUUAAGAUGGGGUUCAGUUCUGACUUAAGUCAAAUACCUCAUUUUUUUUUAAGUUUUUAUUAUUAUUAUUGCCUUUUAUGGUCAGUAUCUUUAUAGGUCUGGAGCCCUGGUGGCAUAAUGCUAACCAAAAGGUCAGCCAUUCAAAUUCACCAGUCGGUCCUUGGAAACCCUAUGGGGCAGCUCUGCUGUCUCCGAUAGGGUUGCCAUGAGUCGGAAUCAACCUGUGGCAACAGGCUUUUUUUUUUUUUAAAUAAAUCUGAUCUUUGUGUUUGGGGUUGGAAACAUUACAUAUAAACUUACAGAUAUAUUUUAAUGCAUAUAUUAAAAAAUGUAGAAAUCAUAAAAAUUUACUCUCAUGACGAAGAGUUGGGUGACAUUGGCAUUUUGUCGGUUGCAGUAAUAAUUCCACUUGCCCUAGAUCCCAUGGAUUAUCCCUGGGAAUGGGGAUGAUGUUUCUAGUCUGAAAAUCAGUGAGAGUUGUGUGUAUGGUCCUUUUCUUAUUUUCUGCACAUAUUUUGUGGUAACGUCUCACUGCUUCCCGAAUCUGCCUGUCAACUUUAGCAAAGCUGUCAGAGUUUGAGUCCAUGUUUUCAAACAACUGAAGCCCCUGAUUUAGUUUAGAAAAAACUCCAGCUAACCCUUUCACUGAAAAAUUUCUCUCCUUCCUCUUCCUCAUUAUUUCUUUCUCCUUCAGCAUUUCUUUCCUCUUCGAAGUUCAUGAAGUCCUGAUCUAAAUUCCCCUUCUUCGUGAUCUUUGAGCUGUUCCACAUUGACAAUAUCGAGUUCUAAAUUCAGUGUCAUUGCCAUAGGGAUGAUUUUUCCACCAGUCUCUUCCUUCAUAUUAUCCUGAUCAAUGCCUGGAGCCUGUUCACAUAACUCAGCAAUUUUUUCCUAUCCCCUGCAUGCAUUUUCCCGUAACUUCCUCCCAGGAAGAUGGAAUGUUCCAGAUAUGCUGACGGUCAGAAAUGCGGUUCAUCAUUACUCAAAUACACCUUAAAUCAGAAACUACAUGUAUUUGUUGCAGUUUCAGUGAUUUUUUAAACAAAUUUUGUUGUGCUUUAGGGUUAAAGCUUAGCUCAAGUGAUUUCUCAUUCAAAAAUUUAUACACAUAUUGUUUUGUGACAUUGCAAUCCCGACAAUGUGCCAGCACGCUCCCCCUUUCCACCCUGGGUUCUCUGUGUGUAUUUGUCCAGUUUUGGCUUUAAAAAAAUUGAAAUACUCUUGAUGCCAUGAUAGGUAUUAUAAACUGUCUUAAGGGAAACAAAAUCUCUCAAGAGCAUUAGAAAUCUGUAAGCAUAAUUUCUGGUAGAAGGUAAAUUUGCUUUCUGAGAGGAGCAUCGUGACCUAGACGCUAACGUGAAGGAUGUAUAUAGAGGAACGAAGGAAUAGGCUAGAGAGGUAGUCAGGUGACAUCAUGAAACUCAGUGCAGCUUGACUUUGGUCCUGAAAGCUGUGGCAAGUUAGAAGGAUUUUAAACAGGAAGUGGUGGAAUCAGAGGGAGAAAGAUACCCCUAGUAAACUGGAGGGGUGAUUAAAUUAGGAGGCUCUAGGGAGAAACGACGGAGGGCAGACUGAAAGACCGGUGGUACCUGUUUCAUCUUCAUACAAGAACACUUUUGAAAUAGGUGCUUUUCUUGAUAAAACAUGAGGUACUUUUCUUUGAUUUUAGAUCCAAAUAUGGACAAAAUUUCUUUUUUUUUUAUGUUAACUUAUUUCAGAUCCCCAGAUUCCCCGUUGAGGUAAGAUGGAAAUGAGAGAACAAUUUAGAAUCUGGGAAUUUUGGCUCUGUACUGUAAAAUGAGUUUGAAAAUGAUAUAAUGCCAUACAAAGCCAAUAAGAUAAGAACCCUCUAGUUUUCUGCUUUCCCUGUUUGUUAUCUGCACUGUUUCUUCUUGACAAUUAGCCUUUCCUCUCCACUAUUUUCGGCAGUUGGUGUGAAGCUACAAGUUAUGGUAGCACUCAGAAAUGUGUCACAUGAGUAAUUCUCUCUCAUUUUAAAUGCUAACACAGGAAAAUGCUUUCCUUGGUGUGAGAAGUUAUUUAUUUUUGUGUUGUAUUUGGGAGAUAUGUGCAGUAUAUCCUGAUUUUGUGGCUAUAUGGAUAUACCCUUUAAUACAAAUCUUUGUGAAGCUUUGAAAGGGAAUUCUAAGUUAAUAAUCUUUUAUUUAAAAUUUUCUGUUAUAUCAUUUUGUAAAUAAUAUUUUUAAUGAUCAUUUUGACCUGUUUGUUGUUUGAAGGGCUUCUUGAUGAUUAUGCUGUAGUCCUCUGCUGUAUGGGUCCUGGGCUAGCUUUCCACUCUUCUGUGAUCUGGCAAGAUGCUAAUACGCCUUUUGCUUUUUCAGUUCCAGCUGAGGCUUACGUAGAGUAGCAGUGAGGUAUGAUGACUUCAUAGAGAGAGGCUACUUGUUUGUUCUUUUGACAUGAUUAAUAAUAGCCAACACUUGUUUAUAUUUUAUUUUGUGCCAGACACUGUUCCAAGUGGUGCAUGUUUAUUAACUCUUGAAAUCUUCACAACUCUGUGAGGUAGAUACUCUUUUUUCUUGUUUUAUAGAUGAGCAGACAGAGGUGGAGAGUCGUUGAACCCAGGGUCAUCACAAAGUGACAGAGUCUGGGUUUGAACCUAGGAGCCAGGCCCCAGAAUCCAUGCUUUUAACCAUACAUCAUACUGACUCCAUCUCUAUAGUUUUAUAUUUUGCUUGUGUAGAAUUAAAGAUUUUGUUUUAUUUUUGUUGUGUGUGUGUAUUCUGAAUAAACUUUUUUUGUCAGUCUCAACUUUCCUAAUGCUUUUAUUUGCCGUUGAAUAAUAAGGGAGAGGGCAGGGAAGUAGAUUUCUUUUAUAUUUGAAAUAAAUUCAUUCAGACUGCUUUGAACUGUUGAUAGUUAGCUUGCUACUCCUCUCUCACUUCUUCCUGUAGUUUCUGACUUCAGUAUUGCUACUUGAAUACCGGCUAUUUCCCAGGUCCCUUGGGAACACUGAGAACCAGCUGUUACAGGGGAAAACAGCUCUGAUCCACCUGGGUUGAUAGGUGGAGAAUGCCUUGCCAGUUUUUGGGGGUAACUUCUGUAGAGAAAAUUGGGAUUGCUUUUCCCUUACUGGUUUGGUAGGAUUAUUACUUAACCACGCACAGAUGUCCAGGUGCCAGCACCUGAUAAUAAGGAAUAUAAUUUUCCAUGUGUGAAAUUCAAACUUCGGUGGUAAGCUGCUUCAAAAGGAAGAUUCACCAUGACUUUUUAACUAAUAAAUUAGUUAAGUAAUUUAUAUAUGGCCUGACAUCUUUGAAUUUACCGUUCUCCUACAUAAACACAUAUGACCGCUUGAAAUUGAGACAGUAAGACUGUGGUUAACUCAAGAAAAGGGACAACGUUCCUCUACUUAGCUCACAGUCUUCACUUCCUUCCAUCUGACUUCCAAUUGCCCUUAAAAAGUUCCUGCUUCCAGAAAGCCUUUUUUAAAAUCAUCUUAGAAUUUUUUCAGGUAGAUGACUUCAUGUUUCCCUUGUUCUCAGUCCUCAUUAAUUGGUCACAUUGCUUUGUAUGUAUUCUGUUUUGUUCCUGUGUUGGUGUUUGAGGAAAGGGCUUUCUCUUUAAUGAUUUUGGUACAACCUUUGAGCAAUAUGACACUAAAUGUUGACUGGAAGCCCCUGGUGGCACAGUGGCUAAGAGCUUGGCUUCUAACUGAAAGGUGGGCAGUUCAAAUCCACCAGCCGCUCCUUGGAAACUCUAUGGGGCAGUUCUGUUCUGUCCUAUAGGCUCACUAUGAAUUUGAAUCAACUCGAUGGCAAUGGGUAUAUAUAAAUGUUAAUAUUAUGGGAUUAAUCACACCGUGCAAACAUUUUGAAUUACGUGAAUUUCUCAGAAUAAUUGAGACAUUUCAAUCUUCAAGGAAUGGUAGAGACGGAAUUAAUGGGUGUUACUCUCCAUUGUAAUGGAAACAGAAUUGCAGCAUUUUGUUUUUGUUGUUGAUUUGUGAUUUAGGAGAACUGAAUGUUGCUGAGUAUGACUGUUCCAGGGGGGUUUCUUGGCUGUAAUCUUUACAGAAGCAGGACACUGGGUGCUGGGUAAGUUGUUUUAAGUUAUAGUUCCGAAAGUCACAGUCCAAGAUAGAUCCUAGACCAAAAACCGUUGCCAUCUAGUCUAUUCCGACUCAUAGUGACACUAUAGGAUAGAAUAGAACUGCGCAUGGUGUUUCCAAGGCUAUGGCAUAGUGGUUAAGAGCUAUGAUAAAAGGUCGGCAGUUUGAAUCCACCAGCCGCUCCUUGGAAACCCCGUGGAGCAGUUCUUCUCUGUCCUUACAGGGUCGCUGUGAAUUAGAAUCGACUUGACAGCAACGGACAACAACAUCAACCUUUAUGGAAGCAGACUGCCACAUCUUUCUCCCUCCCAUGGAGCUGCUGGUGGGUUCGAACCACCAACCUUUCAGUUAGCCGAGUGCUUAACCACUGUUCCACCUGGGCUCCUAAAAUGGGUCCUGUUGGACUAAAAUCAAAGAGUUGUUCCUUCUGGAGGCUUUAGGGGAGAAUCCAUUUUCUGGCCUUUCCAGACUUUGAGCAAUCCUUGGCUCAUGGCCUCCUACCAUCUUCAAAGCCAGUAAUCAUGUCACACCCACCUUUGCUUCUGUUAUCACAUGUCUUUCUUUGACUCUCCUGCCUUCCUCUUUCAUUUAUGAGAAUCCUUGUGAUUACAUUGGGCCCACAAAUAAUCCAUGAUAAUCUUCCCAUUUCAAGACCCUCAACCUAACCACAUCUGAAAAGCCCCCUUUACCAUGUGAGGUAACAUAUUCACAGGUUCUGGGGGUUAGAAUGUAGACCUCUUUGGGGGCCAUUUUCUGCCCCCUCCCCGCCCCCUGCCCAAUAGCUAUAUAGGCAGGAACAGUGCCUCAGGUCACACCUUAGAAUUUAGCCUGUUAAGACACUUCUGUGUGUAGGUCCUUGAUGUUAUCCAUAACUUGCAGCCUCAGCCCCUGACACUGCACUCAUGUUGGACCACUGCUAUUGGAAAUUGGAUGUAGUUGCUGCCACUGUUCAGGAUGGACUCACCACAGUCCCCACUUUCUCUCAUCACCUCCCACAUAAGUUUGGGGGUGGGUGUGUCUCAUCGAUGGAGCCUAAAUCAUGUGUCUAUACCCUGGUUGUUGUUGUGCACUGUCAAGUUGAUUCUGACUCAUAGUGACCCUAGAACUCAUAGCAGGAUAGAACUGCCCCCAUAGCGUUUCCUAGGCUGUAAUUUUUUUACGGGAGCAGAUCCCUAGGUAUUUUCUCCUGUAGAGCUGCUGGUGGAUUUGAACUGCUGACCUUUCAGUUAGGAGCCAAGUGCUUAACCAUUGUGCCACCACAGAUCCUUGUCUAUACCCUACCUGCAAGGGUAACUGGUAAACGUAUAACGGUAAGCAGGUUCUGCCUUAUAAUUGGGGGAUUCCUUAAAAAUAGGAAGGGAAAUUCACCUGCCGGGCUUCAAAAAAGAAUGCCAGCCAGAGAGAGCAUGUAAGUAACAGAGAAUAUGAGGAUUCUGUUUAUUGGACGAACUCUGUGCCAGGGAUACACACAUGAAAGAGAUGCGUUUCUGUUCCGGUGGCAGCCAGAGUAGGCGUGGAAAGCCAUGUUCUUGUGCUCGUAGCCUAAUGUAAAUCAGUGCUAUUUUUCUCAGACCCUACAUGAUAGGAAGCCAGCUCUGGUAUGUGAAGGCUUUUCAAUCAGCGUCCUUUACCUGUUCACCGAAAAUGGCUAUCGGCUGUACCUUUGCUUUUUGAAUAGUGACAGAAGAACAGUUGGCGGGUCAGGUUUUGAGGUCUUCCCCUCUCACUCCAGUAUAUUAUCAAUAACAGUGGUAUUGAUACAGAGCUGCUCUGUCCAGUAUGGUAGCCACUUGCUACAUGUGGUUUUUAAAUUCAUUUAAAUAAAUAAAAUUGGAAAUUUAUUUCCUCAUCACAGUAACCGCAUUUCAAGCGCCCAGGUGGCAAGUGGCUGCUACAUUGGGCAGCCCAGACCUAUACCAGUCAUGUUGCAUGUUUAGUGUGUGAGUAUCAGUCCAGUAAAAAGAAAAUGAUUAUAGGCUCUCUUCUUUUUUUUUUUUUAAACCUCUGAUAUUUUUUCAUUUUCAUGUGAUGCUUUAGAGUUCACCACAUCCAUUUACAUGUAUUAUGUUAACAAAACAAACCCUGCAAAAUAAGCAUAAUUAACCCUCGCUUAAAGCUCAGAGAAACCAAAGGUCAAACAAGUGUAACAGAAGUUGAAUUAAUUAAUUCCAUUCAGUACAACAUGAGGUACCUAGGGUGCUCCAUGCUAUAGUAAAUGGUAGGAUACUGAAAAGGCUGUGUCUUCUGCCUGGGUCUGGACAGGUUCUUGUAGAAUCUUUCUGCAGGAGUUGGCAAGGGGUGGCAAGUAGAACAACCUGGGGAAGGGCCAAGUGUAGUUUUCUGUGAGAGCUCAUUACCAGCAUACUCCAGCUGUCGUGCCCCUACCUCUUAGAUCCUACAGCUUGGGCUGGGGCCUCACCAUCUGAAGGAUGAACCUAAAUCUUCCCAGGGAGUCUUCCCCAGGCUGAUCCUCAGUCAGUUCAGGCUGUGGUCACACUAGAUUAUUUUAUAUGGUUACUCGCUUAUUGUAUUCUUACCUCCCACAAGCCCUAACCCAGCAGGAACUGUGUGUGCUUUCUUUAGUGUUCUAUCUCAAGGUGUAGAAUAGUGUCUAAAAUAUGGUAGGUCUUCAAUAAGUAUUUGUUGAAGGAAUCAAUGGUAAAUUAUUCUGUAAAUGUUUCUAUCAUAAGCAAGGUUGUUGCUCUGGAGAUUUUUUCUCCCCUAAAAUCUUACUGGUUUUAGGAAUUAAAUCUUGUGAUGCUUUCUCUCUCACAUUGUUGAAAUAAGUAAUCCCCUCAUGAAAGGUUUAUACCUGCACUGUUCAGUAUAGUAGCUACUAGCCACGUGUGGCAAUUGAGUACUUAAAAUGUAACUGCUUUGAUUAAGGAACUGAAUUUUAAAUUUCAUCUAAUUUUAAAGUUAAUUUAAAUUUUUAAAAAAGUUAUACUUGGUUGAGUUAUUGGAAAACUUUUAGGUAUGUUUGGAACAAUUGGGUGUGUAAAAUUUACCUUUUCAACAGUAAAUUUUAGGAGAUCUAAAUAUAGAUCAGGUAUUUCCAGUGAAAAUUUAGUUACUGAAUUGAAGGUGUUGUAAAUGUAAAAAACAUACCAGAUUUUGAUGACUUAGUAUGAAAAAAAGAAUUUAAAAUAUUUAAUAGCUGUUAUACUGACUACCUGUUGAAAGGAUAAUAUUUUGGAUAUACUAGGUUAAAUAAAAUAUAUUGUUAUAAUUAACUUCACCUGUUUCUUUUUACUUUUUUAAUGUGACUACUAGAAAAUUUCAAAUUACAUACAUGGCUUGUGUUAUAUUUCUACUGGACAGUGGUAGUAUUGACCAUAAAGAGUUUCAUCAAAGGAUUUUGACUGUUUAAAAAAAAAAAUUAUAAAGUCAUAUUUAUCACCCUCAGGUUUUUUUUUUUUAAUUUAAUAUAUGCUUUUAAAAUAUACAAAUAAAAUCUUAACUAAAAGUUGGAUUCAUUCAACAUAUUUGUUCAGGAAGUUGGGGCUAUAGUAUAAAUUAAUGCUUUCAGAGAUUAUUUGAAGACAUAACAUAUUAGGAUGUAGUAUAUGCCAUAAAAAUUUUUUUUUUUUUGCAUAAGAGGGGUAAAUUGAACAGUUUGAGGACUUUGCAAAAAGGUCUGGGAAAGUUUUAUGAAGUAGGGAGAAUUUUGUUGGGGACUAGAGGAUAUUCCAGGCAGAAAAAAUAUAAUUAAAAAAAAAAAAAAAGGCACAAGUAGAGUCAGAAGUGUCUUGAGCAGAAUUCAUGGAGGGAGGCAGGAGGAGACAAGGUUGGAAGCUAAAUUGGGGAUAUUGAAUGCCAGGCUACUUAGUUCAGGAUGUAUCUAUAGAUAAUGAAAAUUUAAUGUUUCUGAGGUAGAAAUUCAUGUGUUUAGAAUUAUUUGGUAUGAUAGAUUUGAGUACAAGUAAAAUCAUGGAGACCAUAUAGGGAAAUUUUGCCCAAAUCCAUGUAAGAAACAGUGAAAUCCUGAAUCAGCAUAUGGAAAAUAUCUGAGAGAGAUAUUACACAGGUAUAAUCAAUGGGACUUUAGUAACUAGUUAGGUAUGAAGAGUCAAUAAUUAUAUCGAGGUUGGCCCUGAAGAAGUGGUAGCACUUUUAAUAGAAAUAAGGAAUACAAGUAUGAGUGUUGAAGGGAAUAUUUAAUGAAUAUACAUGCUCAGGUACCCAGUAGUUAUUUGGAAUGGUACUGUCCUCAUUAGUGGUGAGACUUGAAUCUACAAGUUAGGAAGGAACUGUAGAAGUAUAAGGGUAUUAGGAUCAAAUCCUUAGAGAACAGGAUUAAAGGGUCAGUUUUCACUCUUAAUGAUUUUGUUACUUUAGGUGGAAAGAGAAAGAAAAAAGGAAAAAUGUCCUAUCAGAAAGGUGGAGGAUGGGGGCAGGACAAGCUAAAUGAGCUUUCCACGUUACCAAGUCCAGUGGUCAGUUCUCGGGCAUCAUUUACUUGAUGCAUCAGCAGCAUUUUUUGAUUUUGCCCUUCUUGACAGUCUUCCUUCAUUUGGCUUCCAGUAUACCACAUUCAGCAGAUUUCUUUCUUACCUCUCUGGCCAUUAGUUCUCAGUCUCCUUUACUGUUUUUUACUUCUCAUCUCUAGCCUCUAAAUGUUGGAGUUUCUCAGACUUCUGUGCAUCUGCACUCCUUUGACUAUCUUAUCCUGUCUUCUAUAUGUUGAUGGCUCCCAGGUAAGAUAUCUGUAGUCUAAAUUCUCAGACUCUUUAACAAACUGAUGAUUACAUCCACUUGGAUGUCUAAUAAUCAUCUCAAACUUACCAUCAUCGUUAUAAAAAAUAAUAGCAGGGGCUUGUAUAGCACUGUAUGCUAAGCAUGGUUGUUCCCAAGUGGAUUUUUCCCUAAAACCUACUUCUGUAUUCUUUCCACUAUUCCAAUUGUUUAGGCUGAAAACCUUGAAAUCAUCUUUGAUUUCUUCUCUUUUUUCACUCAGCAUUCAAUCCAUCGACAACGCUAUUGACCAGAGUCUGAGCACCUUUUAAAACCUCCACUGCCGCCAUAUGAAUUCAAGCCAGUCAAAUCUCAGCAUAGCAGCCAGGCUGAACGUGUAUAAAAUCUGUAUUAGAUAAUGUGAUAUUUUUGCUCAGUUUCUCCAAAGGUUUCCCCAUCUGUCAGACAUCCAGGUCAAGUUGAGCCACUGAAUGACUGUAAUCAUAUUCAUGUGUGACUUAGCAGAAGCACAGCCUAGCAGGUCCUGCCAGAAGUGCAGCUGCGGUCAUCCACUGGCUUAAUUUGACUGGAUGAUUUAAGACAGCCUUACUCAAAUGUCCGUGGCCUCAGCUGGGAUGGCUGUGAUAAUGGGGAAAUCUGGACCUCUUUUUCCAAGUGAUCUCUCAUCCUCCAGGAGGCUGUCUUUGGCCUCCUAACAUAGUAAUGGUUUUAUAAAAGGGAAAUCCCAAAUGGGCAAGUGCUUAUCAAGCCUCUGCUUGUGACACAUUUACUGAAGUCCAGUUGGUUAAAGCUAGUCAUAUGGCCAACUCCAGAGUCAAUGUGAGAAAAGAAUUUGCAAGGGUAUGGAAACCAGGAGAUAACAUGAUUCAUUGGGGGCCAUUAAUAAAACAAUCUUCUGCCGGCCUUAUAUGAUCUGUAUCAAGGUUUAAUUUAUUAAAUUAUUUUAUUAUAAUAUAGCAUACCUUUCUUUAGACAUACAGGGAAAUAAUCAAGAAAAAAGGAGCCCAACUAGAUAUAACUGAUUUCUGGAAGUAUGGGCUAAAUUAAACAAUGAUUUGAUGGAAAGGAGUCAGAUUUGACUGUUGUGUAGCUUUUAUUUACUUUUUAAUUUCAGUGACUUCCUAGAAGUAGAAAAUAUACUGUAUGUACCAUUAAUGAUUUACAGAAUUUUUUCAUUAAACUAGAUAGUAUCUUAAAUAUAAUGGCUAGCUGUCUGAGUUAUUUAACUUGUCCAUCUCCUAUAUUAUCCCCUGCUCCAGAUCAGGAAGUUAUGCUUUGUUUUUCUCUAAUUUAUAUGGUGUUUACAUUACAGGCAUACCUUGUUUUAUUGUGUUUUGCAAAUAUUCUGGUUUUUUUUUUUUUUUUAAAGGAAGAUUUGUGGCAACCCUCUGUGGAGCAAGUCUUAUCAGUGCCAUUUUUCCAACAGCAUGUGCUCACUUCGUGUCUCUGUGUCACGUUUUGGUAAUUCUCGCAAUAUUUCAAACCUUUUCAUUAUCAUUAUAUCUGUUUUGAUGAUCUGAAAUCGGUAAUCGUUGAUGUUACUAUUGUAAUCGUUGUGAGGCACCACGAAUCAUGCCCAUAUAAGAUGGUGAACUUAAUAAAUGUCGUGUGUGUUCUGACUGCUCCACCGACUGCCGUUCCCCCAUCUCCCUUUCCAGGGCCUCCCUAUUCCCGGAGACACAACAGUGUUGAAGUUAGGCCACUUAAUAACCCUAGAAUGGCCGCUAAGUGUUCAAGUGAAAGGAAGCGUCUCAAGUCUCUCACUUUAAAUCAAAAGCUAGAAAUGAUUAAGCUUGGUGAGGAAGGCAUGUCAAAAGCUGAAAACUAGGCCUCUUGCGCCAAACAGUUAGCCAAGUUGUGAAGGCAAAGGAAAAGGUCUUGAAGAAAAUUACAGGUGCUGCUCCAGUGGGCACACGAAUGACAAGGAAGUGAAACAGCCUUAUUGCUGAUGUGGAGAAAGUUUUAGUGGUCUGGAUAGAAGAUCAAGCCAGCCACAGCAUUCCCUUAAGCCAAAGCCUAAUCCAGAGCAAGGCCCUUAACGCUUCAACUCUGUGAAGGCUGGCAUAGGCGAGGAUGCUGCAGAAGAAAAGUCUGAAGCUAGCAGAGGUUGGUUCAUAAGAUUUAAGGAAAUAAAACCAUCUCUAUAACAUAAAAGCACAAGGUGAGGCAGCAAGCGCCGAUGUAGUGGCUGCGGGAAGCUACCCAGAUGGUCUCGCUAUGGUAGUUCAUAAAGGGGCUAUGCUGAGCAGUGGAUUUUCACCACAGACGGAAUGGCCUUGUGUUGGAAGACGAUGCCGUCUAGGGCUUCCACAGCUAGAGAGCAGAGGUCAGGGCCGGGCUCGAAGCUUCAGAGGGCAGAUCAACUCUCUGGUUAGGGGCUAAUGCAGCUGGUGACUUCACGUUGAAGUCACUGCUCAUUUACCAUUCUAAAAAUCCGAGGGCCCUUAAGAAUUAUGCUAAAUCUACUCUGCUUGUGCUCUAGAAAUGGAACAACAAAAUCUGGAUGACAACACAUCUGUUUACAGCAUGAUUUACUGAAUAUUUUAAGCCCACUAUUGAGACCUACUGCACAGAAAAAAAGGGAUUCCUUUUAAAAUAUUACUGCUCGUUGACGAUGCACUUGAUCACCCGAGAGCUCUUACAGAGAUGUGCAAGGAUAUUAAUGUUGUUUUCAUGCCUGCUAACACAGCAUCCAUUCUGUAGCCCAUGGAUCAAGGAGUAAUUUCAACUUCCAAUUCUUAUUAUUUAAGAAAUACGUUUUGUAAGGCUAUAGCUGCCGUAGAUGGUGAUUCCUCUGAUGAACCUGGGCAAAGUAACUUGAAAACAUUCUGGAAAGGAUUCACUAUUCUAGAUGCCAUUAAGGACAUUUGUGAUUCAUGGGAGGAGUUCAAAAUAUCAACAUUAACAGGAGUUCAGAAGAAGUUGAUUCCAACCCUAGUGGAUGACUUUGAGGGGUUUCAAGAUUUCAAUGGAGGAAGUAACUGCAGAUGUGGUGGAAAUAGCAAGAGAACUAGAAUUAGACGUGGGACCUGAAGAUGUGACUGAAUUGCUGCACUGUCCUGAUAAAACUUUAGCAGAUGAGGAGUGCUUCUUAUGGAUGAGUAAAAGAAAGUGGUUUCUUGGAUGGAAUCUGUUCCUGGUGAAGAUGCUGUGAACAUUGUUGAAAUGACAGCAAAGCAUUUAGAAUAUUACGUAAGCUUAGUUGAUAAAGCAGUGGCAGGGUUUGAGAGGUUUAAUUCCAAUUUUGAAAGAAGUUCUGCUGUAGGUAAAAUGUUACCAAAGAGCAUCGUAUGCUACAGAUAAAUCUUUCGUGAAACCGAUGUGGCAAGCUUCAUUGUUGUCUUAAGACACUGCCACGGCCACCCCAACCUUUAGCAACCACCACCUUACCAGCCAGCAGCCAUCAACGUCGAGGCAACACCUACCACGAGCAAAAAGAUUACAACUCACUUAAGGCUCAGAUGAUGGUUAUCAUUUUUUAGCAAUGAAGUAUUUUUUAAUUAAGGUCGCUGUAGGGUUGCUAUUAGUUGGAACUGCUUUGAUGGCGCCUGGCAGUAACAUUGUUAUUUUAGACAUAGUGUUGUGGCAAACUUAAUAGACUACAGUAUAGUAUAAACAUAACUUUCAUAUGCACUGGGAAACCAAAAAAAAUUUGUGUGACUUACUUUAUUGCAAUAUUCACUAUAUUAUGGUGGUAUGGAACUGAGCUCGCAAUAUCUCUGAGGUAUGCCUGUAUGUGAACGAGUUUUUUGUAUAUUGCUAAUUGAAAUGGUCCUGAAAGUUAUGUUGGGCAGAUAAUAACAUUUUUAUCCUUGAGGUGAUGUUCAGAUUUUGCACAUAAAGAUUUCUGAACAAAAAUUUGUUUAUAGAGAAUCAAUUUGUUAUCACAACAAAUAAACAAGGUAUAAUUUGGGGAGCUGGAAACCCUGUUGGCAUAGUUGUUCAGAGUUAGGCUGCUAACCAAAAGGCCAGCAGUUGGAAUCUACCAGGCACUCCUUGGAAACCCUGUGGGGCAGUUCUGCUCUGUCCCGUAGGGUCACUAUGAGUUGGGAUCGACUUGAUGGCAAUGGGGUUAAUUUGAGGAGUUUUUAAGAUUUAUCUAAAGCACAUUCUCCAUGAGUCAGAGAAAAUGGUAUUUUUGUCAAUGUCCUAUUCCAACAGAACUGAAAAAGAAAUAAUGAUAAAUUUUGGAUAUUCCAAAGCCCUUUUGAUUUCUUUGUGAUUUUUAACACCUCCAUUUUUAACCUUUAAUUUUAGAUUUCUCAAACUGCUGGUGCCAAAUGAUAAAUUUCAAAAUUCUCUUUUCUGUAUCAUGCAUAUAUGGUAGUAAAGGAAAAAAAAGUACAUUUCAUCAGGUUAAAUCCUGCUCACCUGCCCCCUCAUGAGAAUUUUUUAAAAUGAGUUUUAUAAGAAGAAAUACUAACUCCUAAACGUCUUCUUUAAAUAUGAGUUGAUUGAUAUUUAUUGCAAAUUGGAAAUUAGUUACAUUUAAUUGGAAGGGUAAUUUUUUUUGUUGUUGUUAUAUAUUUAUUUGUCAUGUAAAAUUAGUUGUUUCUUCCCUCAGUUACUUCAACCAGGACAUGGAUGCUCUCUAUAUGCUUUGCUUUUAUCUUCUGCUCUGUCUUUUGGGCAUUGGACUGUUGGGGUUGUGUGUGUAGAUCACUGUAAUUAAAGAGUAGGUAUUAAGGAAUUUUAAGAAGAAAUUGUAAUAAUAUCUUAUUUAUCUCCGUUUGUACAUCUCGUCUGCUUUAUCUUCCUUGCAAACAAAAAAGGUAGUUUAACCUAACAGGGCUGGAAUUAAGUACGAAAGGAAGUUUAACACUGAAAUUUAUAUUGUAGGGAUUAGAAAUCAGUGCCAAGAAAGCCGGAAAUCCUGGUGGUGUAGUGGUUACAGAUGCUGACUAAAAAGGUCGGCAGUUCACAUCUGCCAGGCGCUCCUUGGGAACUCUCUGGGGCAGUUCUACUCUGUUCUACAGGGUCGCUUUGAGUUGGAAUCGACUUGAUGGUGACAGGUUUUUUUUUUUUCUUUUUUUGCCAAGAAAGCAGGCACUGGUUUUAGGUAGAUUAAAGUUACUGCCUGGAACAAAAAGUAUUCUGUAGUCAGGGUAGGAACAUUGGGGCUGAUGCAGAGACUGUCUUUGGAACUCAGAAAGAAAAUAUAUUUUGUGGUGGCUGUGUAGGAGAGUUAGUUUUGUCAAAAACAUGUGGAAUUAAUAAUUUGGGGGCAGUAUGAUAAAGAAGAGGAUAUUGUAGUCUAACAGGACCAGAAAUAGGAAUUGGGGUAUAAAAUAGAGGAGAAAAAGGUAGACGUAAACAUUGUUGUGAAUAGCAGUAAUAACCGUUAUUGGUCUUUACUGUGUUUCAGGGACUAUUUUAAGAGGUAGGCAUUAUGAUCAAACCUCAACUGACCGAGAAGAAAAAUUUAAGUUAAGUGAUUGCUCAAGGUCGCAGAUAGCUAGUCAGGGGAGGGAAGAUCAAAGAUAGAACUCAGGCAGUUCUCACUAUAGGCUUCUCGUUUAACCAUACACUAUACCACCUUUCUAAAUUUUGUUCCUUAUGAGAUCAUCAGUCUAGAGGAGGUUCCCUUUUUUCUCCUUUUGUUGAAGUCCUGUGUUAAGGGCCAAUGCUGAUUAAGGCUCAGUUAGAAAGAGGAUUUUGGCAUGUGACCAGUGAGUGGUAUUUACAGAGAGUACAAGGUUCAUGGUUUUUUAGAACCCAGGGGUAUAAAUGAAUCCAUAAGCCUGGGCGAUUUUUUUUCCCCCAACUGGGAAAUAUCUCCAGGUCCCCUCUCCUCUCCUUUGAAUUUUAAAGACUUUCUGUUUUUUUUGUCAGUCUGUUGUAUCCAUAGAGUGAGACCAUUUUAAAAGGAGACUAUAAUUCGUCUUGUUCCAAAUGCCAGCACAUCAUUUGGCAUAUGUAGUGGACACCUAGUAAAGAUUGCUAGAUUUGAGGGACAGACAGAUGAAUACUGGUUCAGCUUUGGUCUGUAUGCUGGCAAGAGAGCCCCCUCCACCACCACUGUAAGACAUCUUAAAACUUUAGGAGACCUGGGAAGGGUGGGAAUGUCUCUGGACCCCUAAGUAUGAAACACAGAUAUAAGUUGCUCUGAUUUCAUUUCCCCAGGAUUACUUACUUUUUCUCACUUGUGGACAAGACAUGUGAACAAGUAACUUCAGUUUAGUGUUAGGAGUGCUGUCAUAGAAGUGCCUUUAAGAUGCACUGGGAGUGCUUAGCCAAGCCAAGCUUAUGUUAUACGAGUUGCUGAGUUUCAGAAUACAAGGAGUUAGACAUGGAAGGAGGGCAAGCAUUCCACACUGAAUAAAAGAACAUGAAUAAAGAUACUAAGGGCCAAAAUAGCAAGGAACUAAAAGGAAUUUAGCGUUAUUGAAUCAUAAAGCAUAAAUUGAGGAGCCAUGGGAUAUUGUAUGCUAUUUUUUUUAUGCUAAGGAUCUUGGGUUUUAUCAUAGAGUAUUUUCCCUCAAUCUUUUCCACAAAAGUACAGCUGAAGUCACAGGAGUUUGAAUACUAAUGCUUUCGAAGUAAGAGAGCAAAGUCCACAUGGGUCUGCUGCCUGUUUGAAAUUUCUCUUAAGACUGGUGUUUUAUUGUUAAAAAUUAUGAAAAACUUUGUGUUCUAGAAUUGAUUAGUAUGAAUUCUUAGCUUCAAUUUUCUAAUUUAUAGAAUAGGGAUAAUGAUAGCAUUUACCUCUUAGGAUUGUUGGUAGGAGUAAUAAGAAUAACUAUAAUUAUGGUAAUGACAAUGUAAUAGCUAACAUUUUUUGAGGGCGUGUUUACUAAGGAACAAUCCUAAGUGCUUCACUUCUCUUACUUCAUUUAAUCCUCAGAACAUCUCCGUGAGGUAGGUGCUGUUAUUAUCUCCCUCUUCUAACAACACUGGGGCAUAGAGAAGUAAUUUACCUAAGAUUACCCAGUAAGUGGCAGAGCUUGGUCUGAACCUAGGCAGCCUGAAUAUAAGACACUUCACUACUGUACUCUCAUUCUAUGAGAUUAUGCAUAUAGAGAAUUUAGCAUAGAAUCUGGCACGUAAUAAAGUAUGUGUAUUUUUUUUUAAAGGAAUUACCAAUAGCCAAUCACUUAUUUUGUCUACACCUUUGAGUUCGAUUGAUAUCCUCAGUUAAUUGUACUGUUUUGUGGGGGGCCUGAUUUACUCCCUGGCAAACCACUGAAUAUAGACAGUGUGACUCCCAAGCCCAGCUUUUUAACUCCUACGCUAUACUGCCUCCUCCUUCUUUGGUCUUUCUCUACAUUAGACUUUGAAUCUAUAACCAAAACCAAACCCGUUGCUGUCGAGUUGAUUCCGGCUUACAGAGACCCUGUAGGACAUAGUAAAACUACCCCGUAGAGUUUCCAGGGAGCAGCUGGUGGAUUUGAACUGCCAGCCUUUUUGGUUAACAGCCAAACUCUUAACCACUGGACCAUCAGGACUCUACUCUAACACAUAAAAAAAAAAAAAAUAGAAAUGUCCAAAUAUUUGG
Long non-coding RNA from Loxodonta africana (African savanna elephant), 27493 nucleotides. RefSeq lists it as uncharacterized. Lineage: Eukaryota; Metazoa; Chordata; Mammalia; Proboscidea; Elephantidae. The record is from RefSeq and is a predicted model, not a curated record. The transcript is spliced from 2 exons.